UACGUAGGGGGCUAGCGUUGUCCGGAAUCAUCGGGCGUAAAGCGCGUGUAGGCGGCCCGGUAAGUCCGCUGUGAAAGUCGGGGGCUCAACCCUCGGAUGCCGGUGGAUACUGUCGGGCUUGAGUACGGAAGAGGCGAGUGGAAUUCCUGGUGUAGCGGUGAAAUGCGCAGAUAUCAGGAGGAACACCUAUUGCGAAGGCAGUUUACUAAGCUUUAACUGACACUGAGGCACGAAAGUGUGGGGAUCAAACAGG
Molecule: ribosomal RNA, 253 nt
Filed under: uncultured bacterium
Lineage: Bacteria
Description: partial 16S ribosomal RNA
Rfam family: Bacterial small subunit ribosomal RNA
Source: RNAcentral